This is an RNA transcript of Chenopodium quinoa (quinoa), 2934 nucleotides long. RefSeq lists it as uncharacterized. The transcript is spliced from 6 exons. NCBI's taxonomy places the organism in Eukaryota, Viridiplantae, Streptophyta, Magnoliopsida, Caryophyllales, Amaranthaceae. The record is from RefSeq and is a predicted model, not a curated record.
UUGAAAUUGAAAGAAAAAUCAAAAGCCCAGAAAAAAAUUGAAAUCUUAAAAAAAAAAAAAAAACCGAGAAAUCGAUAAAAAAAAAUGCAAUCAAAAUUGAUGGAAAGAAGGGUUUGAAAGAGAACGAGAAAGGGAUUGAAAGAAGGGAUUGAAAGAGAACGAGAAAGAGAUUGAAAGAGGAGAUGAGAAUGAGAGCAGAUGAAAGAGAAAGGGAUGAGAGAGAAAGGAUGAGCGGCGAACAGAGAGUGUUUUGUGAGUGAAUUAGCUUUAGGGUUUGAGACUUAGAGUGGUAUAUAACCUUAUAUAUAAAUGGAAUAAAAAAAAGCCGGUUUUUUUUAAAAAAGGAUUGGCACCGGUUCAAACCGGUGCCCUUUGUAUUUUUGGCACCGGUUUUGUCUGAACCGGUGCCAUUUCUCUUUGUCUAAAAACCCGCCCAUUUUUAGGCUAAUUUUUGGCACCGGUUUGGCCUGAACCGGUGCCAUUUGGGGGUUUCCUUUUUGUAUUUAGUGAAUGUGGGAUUUCAUAUCAUUACCACUACACUUCCCCUUUUUUAGUGUUUAGUGUUUUUUAGUGUGGGACAAGAAGAAUGCUCACAUGUGGGUUGUUCAUGGGCUCCAAAGAACCAAGUAAAUAAAGAAAUUUAGAAUUUAAUCGGAAUGGUGGUCCGACUCUACACAUAUAUCAUCGAGACAUAUAUUGUAUAUCUAUGUAUAUGCAUGCAGGGACAUAUUCCUUCUCAAGAAGGUAAAAAUGCGGAUAUAGUCAAAUGGUAAAAUUUCUCUUUGCCAAGGAGAAGAUGCAAGUCCAAUUCCCGCUAUCCGAUCAAGGGAAAAUAAAUUUAUUUACUAUGAUAAAGAAUUUGGUUAUAGUUAUAGUCGACCCCGAUAGUGUAGUGAUUCUAUCCUUCGCGUUCUUUUAUUUUCUCACUCCCCAAAAAGAAAACCAAAUAAAUAUGAAUUUCAAUUGCUGAAACACUUUUUUUAAUACAAAAAACUGACUAGCUGAAACACUUUUUUUUUUAGAAAUCUUGGCACAACUCAUACUCAACUGCUUUAAAUUUGACACGAGCAUGCACUUAAUUUUUAUGUAUUCGCAUCCUCUAAGUGCGGAAAAUCCCUAUUGAUCUUCUUGAUUAACGAAUUUCGUCAAUCUAGGGGUUAUUCAGGUAUUUCAACCUAUUACUAUGAGGAUGCGUUUGUAAUUUUACAGUAAUGACAUGGACUUUUACUUUGACUGAGCAUCCAGGUAAACAUACGCUUGUACAUCUGGACUUAACUCCAUUUCAUAGUCGUCAGUUAACAACAGACUAGGGUUUUUGUUACUCCACCUUCAAAGUUCAUCUCUCUCUCUUUUGAAAUCAUCAUUUGGAAUCGACAACAAAUGUAUGUUAAUUAAUUUUUUUUUCAAAUCCACAACCUCCAUAUCUUUGCCGCUUUGAAAACACUGUAGAUCUUCUUUGCAUCCUAUCACACAAUCAGAAUGGGUCAAUACGAUUUGGGUAAGAGGAGGCGUGACUGUAAUGAAGACAACAGGCUGGACAUCUUGGUUCAGCAACCAAUUGAUAACUCCCAAAGCGUGGGGGGCCGUGUGAAAGCAAGAGCCCAAGUGAUUAAUCAAUAUUCAGUAGCAUUGAGAAGACCCCCAAAUAUGAACUGUCGAGUUGAGUCAUUCGGAAGAAUUUGCCAAAAAUUUGAUGAAAGGAGGAUAAGAUGGGUAUGUGAGAUGGGAUUUGGUGGCUUAUUACAUUUGGCUUCCCAUAUGCAUCUACCUAGACAGUUAGCUUAUUGGAUAAUGACGCGUAUUGAUCCAAUUAAUAGAUGCUUAAUUGGUACAAACGGCAGGUCCUUCAAGUUUUUUAAGAACCAAGUUCAUUGGAUUUUAGGAAUUCCUAUUUGGAAAACUGCAGUUCCUACAACAAAGCAAUUGUUUGGUGAUGUUCGUUUGAAGGUGCAGAAUGUUUUAUUGAAAUAUGGAAGGACAUGGGAGACGACACCUAACCAACAAUGCGGUCGCACAUACACUUCAAUGGGCAUCCCUGUUACCGUACAGAUGAUGGAUCGAUUGGAGGGACAGUUUGAGGCAAAUGAUGAAGAAGAAUUCAAAACAUUAUUCCUAAUCCUUGCCCUUCAAAUGAUUUUAUGCCCAAUACAGUCACCAAGACUAGCAUCUGACUUGUUACCGGCAUUGAGUUGUGCUAUGGAAUGCAAAAACUAUGAUUGGUGUGACCUUGUUUUGAAAAAAUUUCUUCAAAGUGUUAAAAUUUUGCGCGACGUUUUUAUGCUAAUGGUUUUGCAGGUGGUUGCGGUGGAUGUGCUAUAUUUGCUGUAAUAUUCUUUCUAGAUCGUCUGAAUUUGGAUCCCUAUGACUGGGAUGUAUAUCCUCGUUUGAAGGUAUGGAGCAUGGAGAGAAUAGGUUAUGCAGGGAAGCUAGAUAGAAAUAUUUCCGGUGAUUAUGGAAAAAUUGGGCUAUUGGAUGUUGCAUAUGGAGAAAGACAUCCUAAAGUAGCUAGGGACACAUUAGGACCCAAGGAAUCUCCGAUGUUUGAUGUGAGUUAUUGAAGUUUCGCAGCUACUAUAUAGUACAAGUAGAGAUAGGCGUAGACGUUCGGAUCUAUUUGCUUUACGAUGGGGUACCAAGAAAGUAAAUGAGGAAACGUCCACACAAGUUUGGAAUGGAGAAUCCUCCAGCGCGUAAGGGUGAUUUUUUCGGCAGAAUCAUAGUACACUAGUUGAGUAAUAAUUAAAAAAUGUUGGUUACAUGUAGUCGAUUUACAUUACCAAAGAAAAAAAAACUACAACAUUUUCUUUUAUAAGUUCUGUCUAUUAAAUUUUGUUGCAUUCACAAAAUGGAUUUUAUGAUGUACUGUAUGAAGCCCACUAUAAUGUAUGGAUAUGUUUUAUGCAAAUCUGAAUGUGUAGAUGAAUGCUAAGGUUU